RNAcentral lists this ribosomal RNA (208 nucleotides) under Zophoscolex pulvinus. Its description in RNAcentral is "partial small subunit ribosomal RNA". Lineage: Eukaryota; Metazoa; Annelida; Clitellata; Crassiclitellata; Lumbricidae. The record is from RNAcentral.
AAAGUGUGCAAACAUGAAUAAAUUUCAUCUACGUCAGGUCAAAGUGCAGCCAAUGGGCGGGUGACGAUGGGUUACACCCUAAACAAGGUCACAGAUUAGCGCAUUAAAAGCCCUAUGAAGCUGGACUUGGAUGUAAUUCUGAUUCAAUAUUAAAAUGAAUACGAAUCUAAGACAUGCACACAUCGCCCGUCACUCUCACCUCAAAGGC